AGUAGUUUGAUCAGUGGCUCGAGGACGAACGCUGGCGGCGUGCUUAACACAUGCAAGUCGAACGGGGCGAUUGAAAGCUUGCUUUUAUGAGCCUAGUGGCAAACGGGUGAGUAACGCGUGGGCAACCUGCCGGAAAGAUGGGGACAACAUCCCGAAAGGGGUGCUAAUACCGAAUGUUGUAUAUAAGGCGCAUGCCUUGUAUAUUAAAGGAUCUAAUCCGCUUUCCGAUGGGCCCGCGUCCGAUUAGCUAGUUGGGGGGGUAGAGGCCCACCAAGGCGACGAUCGGUAGCCGGCCUGAGAGGGUGAACGGCCACAUUGGGACUGAGACACGGCCCAGACUCC
Molecule: ribosomal RNA, 342 nt
Filed under: uncultured Veillonellaceae bacterium
Lineage: Bacteria; Bacillati; Bacillota; Negativicutes; Veillonellales; Veillonellaceae
Description: bacterial SSU rRNA
Rfam family: Bacterial small subunit ribosomal RNA
Source: RNAcentral